GACGAACGCUGGCGGCGUGCUUAACACAUGCAAGUCGAACGGUGAAGCGCCUUCCUUUUUGGUGGGUGUGGAUGAGUGGCGAACGGGUGAGUAGCACGUGAGUAACCUGCCCCCUUCUUCUGGAUAACCGCAUGAAAGUGUGGCUAAUACGGGAUAUUCUGGGUCUGUCGCAUGAUGGGUCUUGGAAAGAUAUUGUUUCGGUGGGGGAUGGGCUCGCGGCCUAUCAGCCUGUUGGUGGGGUGAUGGCCUACCAAGGCGGUGACGAGUAGCCGGCCUGAGAGGGUGGGCGGUCACACUGAGGAUACACCACGGACCAGACUACUACGGGAGGCAGCGGUGGGGAAUGUUGCACAAGGGGCGCAAGCCUGAUGCAGCGACGCCGCGUGAGGGAUGGAGGCCUGCGGGUUGUGAACCUCUUUCGCCAGAGAAGCAGGCCUGCCUCGUUUGUGGGUGGGUUGACGGUAGCUGGAUAAGAAGCGCCGGCUAACUACGUG
This 494-nucleotide ribosomal RNA is filed under the name uncultured bacterium. RNAcentral's name for it is "partial 16S ribosomal RNA". It matches the Rfam family "Bacterial small subunit ribosomal RNA", at positions 28 to 507 of the family's 1533-position model. The record is from RNAcentral.